Molecule: ribosomal RNA, 110 nt
Filed under: uncultured bacterium
Lineage: Bacteria
Description: partial 16S ribosomal RNA
Rfam family: Bacterial small subunit ribosomal RNA
Source: RNAcentral
CCCGGGUCUUGUACCCACCGCCCGUCACACCAUGGGAGCGGGUUCUGCCAGAAGUAGUUAGCCUAACCGCAAGGAGGGCGAUUACCACGGCAGGGUUCGUGACUGGGGUG